AAAGGCUAAUCAAGCACGGAGAUAGCUGGUUCUCCCCGAAAACUAUUUAGGUAUUGCCUCGUGUAUAAAUCAUUGGGGUAAAGCACUGUUUCGACAAUGGGGGUUUUACGACCUUACUGACUCGAUGCAAACUCAGAAUAAGAUGAAGUUCGAUCACGGGAGACACUCUGCGGGUGCUAAGGUCCGCAGUGGAAAGGGAAACAGCCCAGACCGCCAACUAAGGUCCCAAAGUCA
RNAcentral lists this ribosomal RNA (234 nucleotides) under Francisella tularensis subsp. holarctica. RNAcentral's name for it is "partial 23S ribosomal RNA". It matches the Rfam family "Bacterial large subunit ribosomal RNA", at positions 824 to 1055 of the family's 2925-position model. The record is from RNAcentral. Lineage: Bacteria; Pseudomonadati; Pseudomonadota; Gammaproteobacteria; Thiotrichales; Francisellaceae.